GGUAGUGUGGCCGAGUGGUUAGGGUGCUGGACUUGUAAUCCAGUGUCCCAGGUUCAAGUCCUCCACCCUACCA
Molecule: transfer RNA, 73 nt
Filed under: Stylophora pistillata
Lineage: Eukaryota; Metazoa; Cnidaria; Anthozoa; Scleractinia; Pocilloporidae
Description: tRNA-Thr
Rfam family: tRNA
About the family: Transfer RNA (tRNA) molecules are approximately 80 nucleotides in length.
Source: RNAcentral